RNAcentral lists this unclassified non-coding RNA (413 nucleotides) under soil metagenome. Its description in RNAcentral is "partial contains 5.8S ribosomal RNA, internal transcribed spacer 2, and large subunit ribosomal RNA". The stretch from base 1 to 120 matches the Rfam family "5.8S ribosomal RNA", at positions 35 to 154 of the family's 154-position model. The record is from RNAcentral.
GAUGAAGAACGUAGCGAAAUGCGAUACGUAGUGUGAAUUGCAGAAUUCCGUGAACCAUCAAAUCUUUGAACGCAUAUUGCGCUCGAGGCUUCGGCCGAGAGCAUGUCUGCCUCAGCGUCGGUAUUACCCCUCGCUUCUCAACGCCUGGUUGAUGCCUGCCUGCCUUUGCAGUUGGCUAGAAGCGGAUCUGGCUUUCCCAAUUGCCUUUGGUAGUUGGGUCAGCUGAAGCACAGAGGCUUGAGCAAGGACCCUUAUUGGGCUUCAACUGGAUAGGUAGAACUGGUCUUAGGACCAACUACACGAAGUUGUUGCUUGUGGUCUUUUGUCUGGAGGCCAGCAGGAAACCUUUAUACCUUCGACCUGAGCUCAGGCAAGAUUACCCGCUGAACUUAAGCAUAUCAAUAAGCGGAGGA